UGUACGCAAGUCAUUGGGUUUAUAAAACCUAAAGGCGAAAUGAAAGUAAAGAGUAAAAAUUUGAAUAGGUUCUCCUAUACUAUUUGCACUCUAAGGAGGAUGGAAGCUUCAUCUUUAUGCUUAUAGUUUACUAUGACAUAUAGAUAAAAGUUACCCGCACUCCUGGGGCGCUAGUUUCUCGCCUUGCGAGUCGAUGCGCACCUAGAGCGUACACGAUGAUACCCGAAAGAUGGUGAACUAUGCCUGGCCAGGACGAAGCCAGGGGAAACCCUGGUGGAGGUCCGCAGCGAUUCUGACGUGCAAAUCGAUCGUCGGAGCUGGGUAUAGGGGCGAAAGACCAAUCGAACCAUCUAGUAGCUGGUUCCCUCUGAAGUUUCCCUCAGGAUAGCUUGCGCUCGAUUGAUACGAGUCUCAUCCGGUAGAGCGAAUGAUUAGAGGCAUUGGGGUCGAAACGACCUCAACCUAUUCUCAAACUCCAAAUAGAUGAGAACCCCGGCUUUCUUAAAAGUGAAGCCGUGGGAUUCGGAUCAGAGUGCCA
This 538-nucleotide ribosomal RNA is filed under the name Carayonia orientalis. Its description in RNAcentral is "eukaryotic LSU rRNA". It matches the Rfam family "Eukaryotic large subunit ribosomal RNA", at positions 681 to 1124 of the family's 3401-position model. The record is from RNAcentral. Lineage: Eukaryota; Metazoa; Arthropoda; Insecta; Hemiptera; Reduviidae.